This 253-nucleotide ribosomal RNA is filed under the name uncultured bacterium. Its description in RNAcentral is "partial 16S ribosomal RNA". It matches the Rfam family "Bacterial small subunit ribosomal RNA", at positions 524 to 776 of the family's 1533-position model. The record is from RNAcentral.
UACGUAGGGGGCUAGCGUUGUCCGGAUUUAUUGGGCGUAAAGAGCGCGUAGGCGGCCAUGUAGGUCAGGUGUGAAAACUCGAGGCUUAACCUCGAGAUGUCAUCGGAAACCAUUUGGCUAGAGUCCGGAAGAGGAGAGUGGAAUUCCUGGUGUAGCGGUGAAAUGCGCAGAUAUCAGGAAGAACACCAAUGGCGAAAGCAGCUCUCUGGGACGGUACUGACGCUGAGACGCGAAAGCGUGGGGAGCGAACAGG